GAUGAACGCUGGCGGCGUGCCUAAUACAUGCAAGUCGAGCGAACAGACGAGGAGCUUGCUCCUCUGACGUUAGCGGCGGACGGGUGAGUAACACGUGGAUAGCCUACCUAUAAGACUGGGAUAACUUCGGGAAACCGGAGCUAAUACCGGAUAAUAUAUUGAACCGCAUGGUUCAAUAGUGAAAGACGGUUUUGCUGUCACUUAUAGAUGGAUCCGCGCCGCAUUAGCUAGUUGGUAAGGUAACGGCUUACCAAGGCAACGAUGCGUAGCCGACCUGAGAGGGUGAUCGGCAACACUGGAACUGAGACACGGUCCAGACUCCUACGGGAGGCAGCAGUAGGGAAUCUUCCGCAAUGGGCGAAAGCCUGACGGAGAAACGCCGCGUGAGUGAUGAAGGUCUUCGGAUCGUAAAACUCUGUUAUUAGGGAAGAACAAAUGUGUAAGUAACUAUGCACGUCUUGACGGUACCUAAUCAGAAAGCCACGGCUAACUACGUG
RNAcentral lists this ribosomal RNA (497 nucleotides) under uncultured bacterium. RNAcentral's name for it is "partial 16S ribosomal RNA". It matches the Rfam family "Bacterial small subunit ribosomal RNA", at positions 28 to 507 of the family's 1533-position model. The record is from RNAcentral.